AAGUCGUAACAAGGUUUCCGUAGGUGAACCUGCGGAAGGAUCAUUAACACUUAUUAUUAUCCAAUAUCAAAAAUAAAACCAAACGGCAUCUUUUCUUCUCCCUAUUUCGACUACCGGAGACGGGUCGAUUAGGCUAACCUUUUUUUUUUAAAUUAUAACCCCAUUUAAUUUAUGUCUCUAUUUAUAUAGAUAUAAACAAAACCAACUCUUCUUUUGUUCAAGUGUGGUUUUACAUCACACAAACAACAAUAAGAACUAAACUAAAAUAUACAUUUGAUUAUAUUUUUAUUUUACGAAAUAAUAUAUAUUUAUAAGAACAACUCUUAGCAAUGGAUAUCUUGGUUCUC
RNAcentral lists this unclassified non-coding RNA (347 nucleotides) under fungal sp. RNAcentral's name for it is "partial internal transcribed spacer region". The stretch from base 1 to 46 matches the Rfam family "Eukaryotic small subunit ribosomal RNA", at positions 1786 to 1831 of the family's 1831-position model. Lineage: Eukaryota; Fungi. The record is from RNAcentral.